Long non-coding RNA from Manihot esculenta (cassava), 231 nucleotides. RefSeq lists it as uncharacterized. Lineage: Eukaryota; Viridiplantae; Streptophyta; Magnoliopsida; Malpighiales; Euphorbiaceae. The record is from RefSeq and is a predicted model, not a curated record. The transcript is spliced from 2 exons.
CAUUCUUGGAUUUGCUCUCUUCAUGGGUCUCUCCAUGAAUCAGUAUUUCAAUACAUAUGAUGUAUUUUCUGGUCAGCCCCUUCCUAAUGCUAGCUCCUCCUGGUUCAAAAAUUUAAUGCAAGUGAUUUUCUCAUCCCCACCAACAACUGCAACUAUUUUUGCUUCCCUUUUUGAUCUUAUCCUUCCUAGACCCUCCGUUGAAGAAGGAGAGGAGAAAAAAGAAGAUGCGAA